This 188-nucleotide non-coding RNA is filed under the name Cerasibacillus quisquiliarum. Its description in RNAcentral is "6S / SsrS RNA". It matches the Rfam family "6S / SsrS RNA". From Rfam's summary of the family: E. coli 6S RNA was the first non coding RNA to be sequenced, but its function was unknown until recently. It consists of 184 nucleotides that fold into an extended hairpin structure with a large single-stranded internal bulge. The 6S RNA specifically associates with RNA polymerase holoenzyme containing the sigma70 specificity factor. Lineage: Bacteria; Bacillati; Bacillota; Bacilli; Caryophanales; Bacillaceae. The record is from RNAcentral.
AGUUAGCUACAUUGUACGUAUAUAAAUAAGUUUUAACCUCUAUUGUUAGUAUAGGGAGUUUUAAAUCGAAGCUCUAAUGCCGUGCCGUGAUUGAGCGGAAGGCAGGAAAGCUUCUGCGAACACCCACUUGGUCGAAGUGGUGGUUUAAAACUUUUUUUACUCGUUUAUACGGCAAAUGUGGCUUGUUU